AGGAUGAACGCUGGCGGCGUGCCUAACACAUGCAAGUCGAACGUCCUGUCUCGCAAGAGGCAGGGAGUGGCGGACGGGUGAGGAACACGUGAGGAACCUGCCCCCGAAGACCGGGAUAACACCGGGAAAACCGGUGCUAAUACCGGAUGCCCUCACCGGAUCACAAGAUGCGGUGAGGAAAUGGAUUCCGCUUCGGGAUGGUCUCGCGGCCUAUCAGCUAGUUGGUGGGGUAACGCCCACCAAGGCUUCGACGGGUAGCUGGUCUGAGAGGAUGUCCAGCCACACUGGGACUGAGACACGGCCCAGACUCCUACGGGAGGCAGCAGUAGGGAAUCUUGCGCAAUGGGCGAAAGCCUGACGCAGCGACGCCGCGUGCGGGAUGAAGGCCUUCGGGUUGUAAACCGCUUUCAGCAGGGACGAAAUUGACGGUACUGCAGAGAAGGCCCGGCAACUACGUGCCAGCAGCCGC
This 469-nucleotide ribosomal RNA is filed under the name uncultured bacterium. Its description in RNAcentral is "SSU rRNA". It matches the Rfam family "Bacterial small subunit ribosomal RNA", at positions 26 to 518 of the family's 1533-position model. The record is from RNAcentral.